GGCGGCGUGCCUAACAUAUGCAAGUCGUACGAGAAAGCCGGCUUCGGCUGGUGAGUAAAGUGGCGCACGGGUGAGUAACGCGUGGAUAAUCUGCCCUUAAGUGUGGAAUAACGUACCGAAAGGUGCGCUAAUACCGCAUAAUGCCUGGCAACACAAGUUGUCCGGCCCAAAGAAGGCCUCUGUUUACAAGCUUUCGCUUCAGGAUGAGUCCGCGUACCAUUAGCUUGUUGGUGGGGUAAUGGCCUACCAAGGCUGCGAUGGUUAGCUGGUCUGAGAGGAUGAUCAGCCACACUGGAACUGAGACACGGUCCAGACUCCUACGGGAGGCAGCAGUGAGGAAUAUUGCGCAAUGGGGGCAACCCUGACGCAGCAACGCCGCGUGAGUGAGGAAGGUUUCGGACCGUAAAGCUCUGUCGAGUGGGAAGAAGUGUAUCAUGGCUAAUAUCCGUGAUAUUUGACGGUACCGCUAGAGGAAGCACCGGCUAACUCCGUG
This 493-nucleotide ribosomal RNA is filed under the name uncultured bacterium. Its description in RNAcentral is "bacterial SSU rRNA". It matches the Rfam family "Bacterial small subunit ribosomal RNA", at positions 38 to 507 of the family's 1533-position model. The record is from RNAcentral.